This 253-nucleotide ribosomal RNA is filed under the name uncultured bacterium. Its description in RNAcentral is "partial 16S ribosomal RNA". It matches the Rfam family "Bacterial small subunit ribosomal RNA", at positions 524 to 776 of the family's 1533-position model. The record is from RNAcentral.
UACGUAGGGUGCGAGCGUUAAUCGGAAUUACUGGGCGUAAAGGGUGCGCAGGCGGCCGCGCAAGUCGAGUGUGAAAGCCCCGGGCUUAACUUGGGAAUUGCGCUCGAAACUACGUGGCUGGAGUAUGGCAGAGGAAGGUGGAAUUCCACGUGUAGCGGUGAAAUGCGUAGAGAUGUGGAGGAACACCGAUGGCGAAGGCAGCCUUCUGGGCCAAUACUGACGCUCAUGCACGAAAGCGUGGGGAGCAAACAGG